GAUGAAGAACGCAGCGAAAUGCGAUAAGUAGUGUGAAUUGCAGAAUUCAGUGAAUCAUCGAAUCUUUGAACGCACAUUGCGCCCCUUGGUAUUCCAUGGGGCAUGCCUGUUCGAGCGUCAUUUGUACUCUCAAGCUUUGCUUGGUGUUGGGUGUUUGUCCCGCGUUGCGCGUGGACUCGCCUUAAAGCGAUUGGCAGCCGGCAUAUUGGCCUUGGAGCGCAGCACAUUUUGCGCUUCUAGUCAUGAAUGUUGGCGUCCAUUAAGCCUAUACAUUUGCUCUUGACCUCGGAUCAGGUAGGGAUACCCGCUGAACUUAAGCAUAUCAAUAACGGAGGA
Molecule: unclassified non-coding RNA, 336 nt
Filed under: soil metagenome
Description: partial contains 5.8S ribosomal RNA, internal transcribed spacer 2, and large subunit ribosomal RNA
Rfam family: 5.8S ribosomal RNA (bases 1-120)
Source: RNAcentral